GGAACCAUAGCUCAGGGAUAGGACACCUGCUUUGCAUGCAGAAGGUCGCAGGUUCAAUCCCUGGUAUCUCCA
This is a non-coding RNA of Podarcis lilfordi (Lilford's wall lizard), 72 nucleotides long. The record is from the annotation of a GenBank genome assembly. NCBI's taxonomy places the organism in Eukaryota, Metazoa, Chordata, Lepidosauria, Squamata, Lacertidae.